RNAcentral lists this ribosomal RNA (254 nucleotides) under uncultured bacterium. Its description in RNAcentral is "partial 16S ribosomal RNA". It matches the Rfam family "Bacterial small subunit ribosomal RNA", at positions 524 to 776 of the family's 1533-position model. The record is from RNAcentral.
UACGGAGUGUGCAAGCGUUACUCGGAAUCACUGGGCAUAAAGCGCACGUAGGCGGAUCGUUAGGUCGGUGGUGAAAGCCCCCAGCUCAACUGGGCGAACUGCUGCCGAUACCGGCGACCUUGAGGGCAAGAGGGGAAAGUGGAACUUCUGGUGGAGCGGUGAAAUGCGUAGAUAUCAGAAGGAACACCGGUGGCGAAAGCGACUUUCUGGCUUGUCUCUGACGCUGAGGUGAGAAAGCGUGGGGAGCAAACAGG